UCGCCGAGCAAGAUGGCUGCACAUUAGAGCGGUCCAGAAUAGUCACCGAAAUAAUGUAAUAUAUCUGUCAAUAUCUCCUCAUUUACGACUAUUUCAGCAAUACUUCAGUAAUACUAGUUCCUUCGACAACUUCUCCGUCAAAUAUACAUUAUCAUGGCUUCGUCUAAGUAUUUCAAAGGUACACGUGGAAAGGCUGCCAUGGAGACUGGUGGAGCUAGCCCAAAAAGCCCUGAGCAAAAUGUUAGCUUGGACAAUCUUUUCAGUGAAGUGAGUAAAAUGAGCUCUACGCUGAACGCAGUGGCUUCGGACAUAUCAACUAUUAAAACGACUACAACGGAACUGAAAAAUGCUGUAAGUGCCAUUCAAGCGCGGCUGACUGAGGCAGAAACGCGAAUAUCCGAAGUGCAGGACACUACUCAACAGUUGGUUGGCGACCGACAGGUGCACUGCAAGCGUAUAGACCAAGCGGCAACAUUCUAAUCUGAACAAUGAAGCCUACCCGGAAGUUCGAAAAACUGCAAUACAUCGAAAAUCCGCUAGGGACUGGUCCCAAAAGCGAGCAAAUGUCCAUAGACUCCCAUGUUAAAAUGUCCGUUUUCACAGCGUAAAUACAUGUUUUUAAAGCCUGGUCCCAUGGACUUUUAUUGUACUUUUCGGCAGUUUCCCAGUGCCUGACAACUGUGAGGGGGGUGAAUUUUUUUCUAACUCAUUAGUUUAGAUCACAUUUAGAUAUAAAAUAUAUGAAUAAUUAAGGGCGUGGUCGGCUUGAUUGACGGCUGACGUCGAGGCAUACAGCAGCAGACGUUGCCAGCUGAUUGGAAACCCUGAAACUUUGACGUCUCAGCCAUGAUUAUACACAAAGUUACCACAUCCUUUCUGAACAUCUUUAUUCAAAAAGCUGACAUAAAAUGGUUUGCUAAGCUAUUAAUUGAAGCCUACUAACCGACACUUUCAGAAGACUUCGUUCCAGUUUUUUCAGUUUCCCUGUAGGUAAUCCAGACAGGCUGGGUGCUGGAGAGGGCUCUGGACUCCUAACUUCAAUUCUCGUCUGUGCAGUCGACACUCCGAAGCAUCACUUCAGCACUGAUUCCAUGAUCUGGAACAUUUUGAAAUCCUACCAGAUGGGGCAGAAGUCAUUGAGCAGUGGCAG
This is a long non-coding RNA of Alosa sapidissima (American shad), 1150 nucleotides long. RefSeq lists it as uncharacterized. NCBI's taxonomy places the organism in Eukaryota, Metazoa, Chordata, Actinopteri, Clupeiformes, Clupeidae. The transcript is spliced from 3 exons. The record is from RefSeq and is a predicted model, not a curated record.